RNAcentral lists this ribosomal RNA (462 nucleotides) under Triticum aestivum (bread wheat). RNAcentral describes it as "partial small subunit ribosomal RNA". Lineage: Eukaryota; Viridiplantae; Streptophyta; Magnoliopsida; Poales; Poaceae. The record is from RNAcentral.
AUGUUCAUGCACCAGAGAGCUGUUCGUCAUGCUGGGAGACCGUUGAUCCGCUAUGGUCCAUUGUUUCCCCGGGAACAGGAGAGGAUCCAAAAUCUGAACUACAUCUACAACUGCAAUGACGUCGAGGCUCUGUGGAUGCUUAGAAUGAAAAGAGCACCAUUUGCCAGGCUUGUCGAGACCUUCAGGAGCAGGAGCCUGUUACAAGAUAGCAUCAACACCAGUUUCAAAGAGCAAGUGGCCAUGUUCCUCCAUGUUGUUGGCCAUAACCAGAGGUUCAGGGUCAUUCACAACACGUUCAGGAGGUCAAUGGAGACCAUCUCUAGAUACUUCAAGCAGGUGCUUUUUGCUGUUGGGGAGCUUAGAGGAGAGAUGAUCAGGAGACCAUCUGGCCAGACUCCACCAAAGAUUCGCGGAAGCCCAAGAUGGUAUCCAUACUUCAAGUUCAGCACUAACACAGGCUAG